This is an RNA transcript of Entelurus aequoreus (snake pipefish), 3155 nucleotides long. It is a transcript of the gene named glycerophosphodiester phosphodiesterase domain containing 5b, with no coding region annotated. The record is from RefSeq and is a predicted model, not a curated record. NCBI's taxonomy places the organism in Eukaryota, Metazoa, Chordata, Actinopteri, Syngnathiformes, Syngnathidae. The transcript has 17 exons.
CAUGCCCGGUGAACGUGCAUGCCGGCCGGGUGUAAAGUCAGCUUGGUGACGGUCUCCCUCCCUGUUACAAGAGAGCUGCGGAUAAAAAAGCACUGACACUCCACCUACCUUUACAAGACGACGCGAGGAUGAAGGAGAUACUCACCAAAAGAAGCUACUAUUAUAGGAAAAAUCCGCGCUUUUAGCUUUUAAGUACUAAAGACAACGUUCGCUCUUGUGUGUGAGACACGUUUGCCCUUUUUUUGUUUUCGGUAGUAAACUUUUGAUAGUGUUAGCAUUUAUCGACUUUGUCAGAAAAUAUCGGCCACUAAUUUCUCGUUUUAAAUUGGAAAAAUACUUUAAAUUCCAUUAAUACCUGGAAGAAAAGUACAAAGACGCCCGCAGACAGUGUCCUUCUGAUCAGUGGGAUGUUUGACUUGCGGGAGCAGGACUGACGGAAGGAGGAUGGUCAAACACCAACCCCUCCAAGUCUAUGAGCGCCAGCUGUGUUUGUCCUGUAUCACUGGGAUCUACGGUUGCCGCUGGAAACGCUAUCAACGCUCCCACGAUGACACCACCAAGUGGGAGCUGCUGUGGUCCCUCAUCCUUCUCUUCACCUUCUGUGCACUGCUGGUCUGGUUUUACUUCUGGUUGGAAGCUCGCAAUGACUACAGUGAGUUCAACUGGUUCCUCUACAACCGCGCUGGCGAGUGGAGUGAUGGCACCGUUCCAAUCAUGGCCACGACCGCUGCUGGCUUCACCUACAUAGCCUUUUUAAUGAUUUUAGCACUUUGCCACGUUGCAUUAGGCCAACAGCUGAAUUUGCAUUGGCUUCACAAGAUAGGAGUCACCGCGGCUCUGCUAACAACCGUUGUCGGGGUGAUAUCCAUCAAUCAAACCUGGCAGCACGAGUGGGACAUCAUCCCCAUCUCCUUGCAGGCCACAGGGCCGUUCCUGCACAUCGGCGCUGUCGCUGCGUUCACAGCUCUGUCUUGGAUCGUGGCCGGACAGGUGGCCCGUGCAGAAAAAACGUCGUUCCAGGUGGUGGUCAUGCUGCUGUAUCUUGGCAUGUUACUGGGCCUCUACGUGGUGCCGCUGUACAUCACCUCCCCUUGCAUUAUGGACCCUAGCAACCUUAGGCCUCGCCCUGAUGUUAUUGGCCACCAGGGGGUCCCUAUGCUUGCUCCAGAGAACACCAUGUGGUCCUUUCAGCGAGCUCUGCAAAUGAAUGUCACUGGGCUGGAGGCCGACGUAGCUAUCAGCGUUGACGGGGUUCCGUUCCUGAUGCGCGACUCCAGCCUGCGCAGGACCACUGACGUUGAGAAGAUGUUUCCUGACAGACCAAUGCAAGACGCCUCAUUCUUCAACUGGACCGAUCUGCAGCAGCUCAACGCAGGACAGUGGUUCCUCAAGGACGACCCCUUCUGGACGGUGCAAACCCUGUCCCCCCACGAGAGGAACCUGAUUGCCAACCAGAGUGUGUGCAGCCUGGAGCAGCUUCUCAAGCUGGCCUCCUACCAUAACACCAGUGUGGUGUUCAGGCUCAGGAGACCCCCUGUGGGACAUCCCUGCUACAACAGCUGGAUCAAUGACACCCUGCAGGCCACGCAGCAAUCUAGGGUUCCUCAAAGUCUGGUAUUGUGGACUCCUGAUGAAGACAGGGCUCAGGUGAGACAGAUUGCACCUGGUCUGAUCCAGACAUCAGUGGAGAAACAAAGUCCUCAAAGCCUCCGAGAGGCGGGCAUCAGCAGGCUGCUGCUCAGAUACAACCAGGCCAGCACUCAGGAAAUCGAGGACUUUUCACAAAGAAACAUCAGCCUCACCCUCUACACUGUCAAUAAGCCCUGGCUCUAUUCUGUGCUGUGGUGCAGCGGCGUGUCCUCUGUGUCGUCAGAGGCGCCGCAUGUCCUCAAGAAGGUGCCUUACCCCAUCUGGCUCUUGAGAGCUGAUGAAUACUGCUUGAUGUGGGUGUGUGCCGACCUCAUCUCCUUUGUUGUGGUUGUAGGAAUAUUUAUAUUACAGAACUAUCACAUGAUCAGGUAUCGAACCAGCGGCAUGCGCAGCUACAACCCUGAGCAGAUCAUGCUGAGCGCCGCGGUCAGGAGGUCCAGCCGAGACCUCAACGUCAUGAAGGAGAAGCUCAUCUUCUCCGGUGAGGAUGGUGACGGACGCUAUCUGGACCCAGCAUGCUGCCUCUCGAGUGUCUGUGAACUCUCCUCCUCCUCCUCUUCCCCCUUCCUCUCAUCCAUGUCGAAAGGUCAAACCCAGUAGCUGCCUCAGCCUGACCCCGCCAUCUCUCCGUGUGUGUCCAUCGUCUGCGCCAUCAGCGACCUAUCCCUCAUUCUUUCCUUGUCUGCGUCCUUGCCCACUUUCCCCGCACAACCCUCAUCCAUCCCUGCCUCCAUGCUACCUGCCUGCUACCCUCGCCCAUAGUGAAGCUUUAAGGGUGCCCCAGUCUGUCUGGCACUGGGCGGGGUCAAAGAGGUGGGCAAUGGAGUUGCCGGCAGUGACGAGCUCUACACAGACAACAGCAAUGAUUAUGAUGACUACUACACUGACCGACCUGUGAGCCAAUGAUGGCGCACUUUCAGCCACAAGAUGAGGAAACAAAGCGUGUACAUUUUUUUGUAAAUAAUGUCUUUGCUUCCUGGACAAAAAUAUAUAAUGUAUAUUACUUUUGACUCAGCACUUUUUAUCCACGGAAUUGACUUAAGAGUGUCCAGAAUUUUCAUUUUUAAGCUAAUUCUCCCAAGCAGGUCCUUCCAUUCUAAGCACUGAUGCCUUUUAUUUAUAUGCACAAUCCAGCAUGAACUCUGCUCACAGCGGCUGUGUCGGUGGAUGGUAACAUUUGAAAGUGUGCAAAUGCUGCUGCAUGUAACAGUUAUGAUCAUAGUAUGUGUGUGAGCUCGGCUGUACAGUCAGGAACAAGUGAAUCUUUUAAAAGUAUGUAACCUGAUGGGGUGUGUACUGUUUAGCCUGCAGUGCAGUGUUGUGAAUGACGUCAUUUGCAAGCCAACAAAAGAACACUUUGGAGUCACGUGACAAUUAGAGGACGUCGUCUUUACUUCCCUGCAAGAAUGUUGGGGGCUAUUUUAUUGUUUACAAACCUGAAGCAUCUUCAUGUUUGUCGCUGCUGUCAAAUGUUAUGUGUGAAUAAAAGUGUAAGCUAACUAAAA